AGCGAACGCUGGCGGCAGGCCUAACACAUGCAAGUCGAACGAACCCUUCGGGGUUAGUGGCGGACGGGUGAGUAACACGUGGGAACGUACCUUUAGGUUCGGAACAACACAGGGAAACUUGUGCUAAUGCCGAAUGUGCCCUUCGGGGGAAAGAUUUAUCGCCUUUAGAGCGGCCCGCGUCUGAUUAGCUUGUUGGUGAGGUAAAGGCUCACCAAGGCUUCGAUCAGUAGCCGGUCUGAGAGGAUGAUCAGCCACACUGGGACUGAGACACGGCCCAGACUCCUACGGGAGGCAGCAGUGGGGAAUCUUGCGCAAUGGGCGAAAGCCUGACGCAGCCAUGCCGCGUGAAUGAUGAAGGUCUUAGGAUUGUAAAAUUCUUUCACCGGGGAAGAUAAAUGACGGUACCCGGAGAAGAAGCCCCGGCUAACUUCGUGCCAGCAGCCGCGGUAAU
RNAcentral lists this ribosomal RNA (451 nucleotides) under uncultured bacterium. RNAcentral describes it as "bacterial SSU rRNA". It matches the Rfam family "Bacterial small subunit ribosomal RNA", at positions 29 to 524 of the family's 1533-position model. The record is from RNAcentral.